Molecule: ribosomal RNA, 372 nt
Filed under: uncultured bacterium
Lineage: Bacteria
Description: bacterial SSU rRNA
Rfam family: Bacterial small subunit ribosomal RNA
Source: RNAcentral
UACGGAGGAUGCAAGCGUUGUCCGGAUUCAUUGGGUUUAAAGGGUGCGUAGGCGGAGAAUUAAGUCAGUGGUGAAAGCUUACAGCUUAACUGUAAAAAUGCCAUUGAAACUGAUUUUCUUGAGUUCGAUUGAGGUAGAUGGAAUGUAUCAUGUAGCGGUGAAAUGCUUAGAUAUGAUACAGAACACCAAUUGCGAAGGCAGUCUACUAAGUCGAUACUGACGCUGAGGCACGAAAGCAUGGGGAGCAAACAGGAUUAGAUACCCUGGUAGUCCAUGCCCUAAACGUUGAUUACUCGUUGUUGGCGAUACACUGUCAGCGACUAAGCGAAAGCGUUAAGUAAUCCACCUGGGGAGUACGAUCGCAAGGUUGAA